Molecule: small RNA, 34 nt
Filed under: Plasmodium falciparum 3D7
Lineage: Eukaryota; Apicomplexa; Aconoidasida; Haemosporida; Plasmodiidae
Description: Pfa-raR6321
Source: RNAcentral
CUGUACGAGUCGUAGAGUGUAGUCUGGAGAAAAG